UGGGGAAUAUUGCACAAUGGGCGCAAGCCUGAUGCAGCCAUGCCGCGUGUGUGAAGAAGGCCUUCGGGUUGUAAAGCACUUUCAGCGGGGAGGAAGGCGAUAAGGUUAAUAACCUUGUCGAUUGACAUUACCCGCAGAAGAAGCACCGGCUAACGCCGUGCCAGCAGCCGCGGUAAUACGGAGGGUGCAAGCGUUAAUCGGAAUUACUGGGCGUAAAGCGCACGCAGGCGGUCUGUCAAGUCGGAUGUGAAAUCCCCGGGCUCAACCUGGGAACUGCAUUCGAAACUGGCAGGCUAGAGUCUUGUAGAGGGGGGUAGAAUUCCAGGUGUAGCGGUGAAAUGCGUAGAGAUCUGGAGGAAUACCGGUGGCGAAGGCGGCCCCCUGGACAAAGACUGACGCUCAGGUGCGAAAGCGUGGGGAGCAAACAGG
RNAcentral lists this ribosomal RNA (429 nucleotides) under Chloroflexota bacterium. Its description in RNAcentral is "Chloroflexi bacterium partial 16S ribosomal RNA". It matches the Rfam family "Bacterial small subunit ribosomal RNA", at positions 355 to 776 of the family's 1533-position model. The record is from RNAcentral. Lineage: Bacteria; Bacillati; Chloroflexota.